RNAcentral lists this transfer RNA (74 nucleotides) under Phycisphaerae bacterium. RNAcentral describes it as "tRNA-Arg". It matches the Rfam family "tRNA". From Rfam's summary of the family: Transfer RNA (tRNA) molecules are approximately 80 nucleotides in length. The record is from RNAcentral. RNAcentral also lists the same sequence under 1 other name. Lineage: Bacteria; Pseudomonadati; Planctomycetota; Phycisphaerae.
GUCCUCGUGGCGCAAUUGGAUAGCGCGUUGGCCUCCGAAGCCAAAGGUUACAGGUUCGAAUCCUGUCGGGGACG